AUGAGUCACGUGGUAAUGUUACCUACAGAGGACGCUUUACAAGAGGUUGUGGUUAGCUCGGAAUCACAUCACGAUCUAAACAAUGUCACAAAUCCCGCCCCCGCCCCAUCUUCAGAAGAACAGUCUCACAAGCUCCCAGACUGCUCAAGUGUUCACAUCCCAGGUACGUCCAGGCCCCAACACUCAGAGGGUCAGGGUGUAAAACGUUUGAGGUUACUGGAGCAGGAAACGGAUGAUGUUCCGACCACAAGCCAUUUAAGGACUUCAGAGAAUAAUGAACAAGGGUACGACGAAGGCAGCCUAACAGCGUGGACUGAUUCGAUGAUACAGGCGUGGGAUCAAGUGUCCUUCAGUGCUUCGGAAAGCGAGGAAGAGGAGGAAUUACCUCAUGAAAUUCCUCAGGAAUUGUUCCGUGAGCGUGAUUUAAACAGGAGGCUCGAUUAUGAAAUGCUGCGCUGUGUUAAUCAGAACUUUGAGAUACUUUUCGACUUGAGCGGACAAACGUUAUCUUAUCGGGAAGCAGAAGACAUCGUUGCUAGCGCACAAAGUGAUGUGGUAUCGAUUUUAAGAAAUAUCAUAGCGUGUCAGCAACAACACAACGAAUCCUUACGUCACGCUGCUGAAUUUUGGAGAAGCUGUCACGAACAGCUGUAUGGUAAAUUCCGACAGUUUCAGCAGAGCAUGAGCGGGAUGCCGGCGGAAAUCCAUCAGGUACAAGUCGAGCAAAAUCUUUCUGUUAACGCCCUUAUGGUGAUCACAGAAUGUUUAAAUCUUAUUCAAAGAAUGUUAACAGAUUUGUUCAAUCGUAUGAUGAGAGGUUGUCCGUGAUAUGUAUUGAAUUGUUGUUUGUUUUUGUUUUGUUAUUGACAUCAAUUCGUUAAUAUCAUUGGGUAUUUCUUACAUUUAUUAUUGUUUGUUAUUGCCAACGAAUCAUUAUCAUUAUUUAUUCCUUACAUUAUUGUAUGUUAUUGUCCCCAACAUUUGGUGUUGUUUUACUUGUGGAGAAACGGUGGUUUUGAAUUUAUACUGUAC
This is a long non-coding RNA of Cyprinus carpio (common carp), 1032 nucleotides long. Lineage: Eukaryota; Metazoa; Chordata; Actinopteri; Cypriniformes; Cyprinidae. The record is from Ensembl.